UUGAGCAGAAAGAGCUAGAGCCAAGUACAGAUGUUGAGGGUCGGUCCCUUGGCCUGACCCCUUCCUCUUAUCCCCCACCCUCUGUCCACUCGAGGUACAGACACAGUGAAACCAUGCUCUGCACCAGGACCACACAGAUGAUUCCAAUUAUGGCCAGGCCAGUUUGACGAAGCGCAGUGGAAGCGACACCAUCGAUAGUCUAUCACAAACACCGUAGUGCCGACUCCGAGAGAGGAAGGGAGCUUUGAGGUGGUGGGGAGAGAUGGGGUUAUCUGAAAGGAUGUGACAGGUGACAGCAAUGUGCUGGAGACCUGCUGAGUCCUUUCUCCUAUCGAUGGGUCACGAGGGAGAGGGGAGAAUAGCAAAGGAGGCCAUUCCGGUGUAAUGCCCUGGUCUCAGGACCUGAGCCCUAGGACCAUGCCCCAGGACUACCUGACAUGAUGACUCCUUGCUGUCCCUAGUCCACCUGGCCAUGCUGCUGCUCCAGUUUCAACUGACCUGAGCCCUAGGACCAUGCUCCAGGACUACCUGACAUGAUGACUCCUUGCUGUCCCCGGUCCACCUGACUGUGCUACUGCUCCAGUUUCAACUGUUCUGCCUUACUAUUAUUCGACCAUGCUGGUCAUUUAUGAACAUUUGAACAUCUUGGCCAUGUUCUGUUAUAAUCUCCACCCGGCACAGCCAGAAGAGGACUGGCCACCCCACAUAGCCUGGUUCCUCUCUAGGUUUCUUCCUAGGUUUUAGCCUUUCUAGGGAGUUUUUCCUAGCCACCGUGCUUCUACACCUGCAUUGCUUGCUGUUUGGGGUUUUAGGCUGGGUUUCUGUACAGCACUUUGAGAUAUCAGCUGAUGUACGAAGGGCUAUAGAAAGAAAUUUGAUUUGAUUUGAUUUGAUGUGACAGCAUGGGCAGUGCCAUUGAAGGUUUUCAUCUAUUCUAAAGUAGAGUAAAAAAGGCUUUGGAGCAAGUGUGCCAUCUAUCUAACUCUAUGGCUAUAACAUAUUGUAAUUCAGUGCCUAGUAUAUAAGGACUAACCCCCAACCUUUAGCCAUAUGGGGACCAGCACUACUGAGGGGUCCUUCAUAUGAAAUCUAUUUCAAAAUGGACACUUCUGACCUUAUCCCUUUCUACUUCCUGGUACAAAAUGUAAAUACCGGGGGGAGUAGAUAAGGUGCACAUUGUGUGUUUGUGGUUAAGUCAUGAAGUCUGGUACAAUAACUAAAUUGUGUAUGCACUAUGUUCAUAGUCUACCGUCUAUAGCGGGGUUAGGCAACUAGAUUCAGCCUCGUGCUGAUUUUUGUCGGAGCGAAUGCCUGGAAAAUAAUGAUAAUAAUUUGUACAUUGCAAAUUGACCACGAUCCCUCUAGGUUGUGUAUUCUAGAGUUUCAGUAUGGGUAUACGUAGUGCACCUGCUCUAAACUUAGUUAUGUGGUCUGGUAAAUGUGACCAGAUAUUGUACUCUGCUCUACAAGGUGUGAUGUCUGGCAUGGUUGGGGUCAAGUCCAGUUCGAUUCAGUCAA
This is a long non-coding RNA of Oncorhynchus keta (chum salmon), 1518 nucleotides long. RefSeq lists it as uncharacterized. NCBI's taxonomy places the organism in Eukaryota, Metazoa, Chordata, Actinopteri, Salmoniformes, Salmonidae. The transcript is spliced from 3 exons. The record is from RefSeq and is a predicted model, not a curated record.